GUGUUUUACUUUGUAUAACGUGUAGAUAUUCAUGUGUUGUAUAUAUGUGUUAUGUUUUGCUUUUGCGCAAUUUUAUCUAGAUGUUCAUGUUUUGUAUUUCGUAGUUUACCUCUUGUAUUCAACAUGCGUGUAAACACUGUUGAUACUAGUUUAAUCUUGGGAGGAUAAGUUUAGAACCGUAGAAGCCUACAGUUAGUUGUGAGAAUCGGGA
Molecule: long non-coding RNA, 211 nt
Filed under: Trifolium pratense (red clover)
Lineage: Eukaryota; Viridiplantae; Streptophyta; Magnoliopsida; Fabales; Fabaceae
Description: long non-coding RNA (TPRA_LNC002258)
Source: RNAcentral